GGACGGGGCCCGCACAAGCGGUGGAGUAUGUGGUUUAAUUCGAUGCAACGCGAAGAACCUUACCUGGUCUUGACAUCCCGGAGACCCUUAGGAAACUAGGGGGUGCUUCCAUCUGGAAGAAUCUGGAGACAGGUGCUGCAUGGCUGUCGUCAGCUCGUGUCGUGAGAUGUUGGGUUAAGUCCCGCAACGAGCGCAACCCUUGCCUUUAGUUGCCAGCAGUUCGGCUGGGCACUCUAAAGGGACUGCCGGUGUUAAACCGGAGGAAGGUGGGGAUGACGUCAAGUCCUCAUGGCCUUUAUGACCAGGGCUACACACGUACUACAAUGGCCGAUACAAAGGGCAGCGACACUGCGAGGUGAAGCCAAUCCCGUAAAAUCGGUCUCAGUCCGGAUUGGAGUCUGCAACUCGACUCCAUGAAGUUGGAAUCGCUAGUAAUCGUGGAUCAGCAUGCCACGGUGAAUACGUUCCCGGGCCUU
This 476-nucleotide ribosomal RNA is filed under the name uncultured Desulfobulbus sp. Its description in RNAcentral is "bacterial SSU rRNA". It matches the Rfam family "Bacterial small subunit ribosomal RNA", at positions 916 to 1381 of the family's 1533-position model. The record is from RNAcentral. Lineage: Bacteria; Pseudomonadati; Thermodesulfobacteriota; Desulfobulbia; Desulfobulbales; Desulfobulbaceae.